UAGGGAAGGACCUGCCCAUCUGAUGGAAGGGAUUUCUGCAGAUGAAAAGAUGGGCAUUGCUGCUUCAGGAGCCUGUGAACUGGCCCCUGUAUUCAGGAGCCUGGGAUUAAAUAUCCUGGUCCUGUUAUAAUUUAACAUGGGGCAAAGUUGCGUUCAUCACUGGAGGUGGUUCUGGGAUUGGAUUCCGUGUAGCGGAAGUUUUCAUGAGGCAUGGCUGCAGUACAAUCAUUGCCAGCAGGAACUUGCAGAGAGUAACUGAGGUGAGUAGCUGGGAGUCUGGUGGAGUAGGAACUGGAGAUCCAAGAACAUUCUUGCAUAUGUCCAGAGACCCCAGACUAAAAUAGGGGCAG
This is a non-coding RNA of Pelodiscus sinensis (Chinese soft-shelled turtle), 350 nucleotides long. The record is from RefSeq and is a predicted model, not a curated record. NCBI's taxonomy places the organism in Eukaryota, Metazoa, Chordata, Testudines, Trionychidae.